This 908-nucleotide non-coding RNA is filed under the name Lachesis muta (bushmaster). The record is from RNAcentral. Lineage: Eukaryota; Metazoa; Chordata; Lepidosauria; Squamata; Viperidae.
AGGUCUUGGUCUUGAACCUCAUAUUACCUAAAAACAUUUGUUUAUACAUGCAAGCCUCAUCACAACGGUGAAACAGCUAUAAUAACAUUAGAGCCGGCAUCAGUCUAUACACCACGACGCCAAGCAACAGCCACACCCCCACGGGCAACACAGCAGUAGUUAAUAUUAGGCCAUAAGUGAAAACUUGACCAAGCAAAAUGUAACACAGGGCCGGUUAAUAUCGUGCCAGCGACCGCGGUUAUACGAUAUGCCCAAGAUAAUAUUAUCGGCGUAAAAAUGACUAAAACAAAGUCCUUAAUUUAGGGAAAAAGCCAAACUAGGCCGUAGAAAGCCAUAAGCCACACUAAUAACCCUAAUAUUACACAACUUUAACUCAUGAAAGCUAAGAUACAAACUAAGAUUAGAUACCCUACUAUGCCUAGCCGUAACAGACAAUUAAAAUACCAAUUGUUCGCCAAACAACUACGAGUCAUACUUAAAACUUAAAAGACUUGACGGUACUUCACCACGCCCUAGAGGAGCCUGUCCAAUAACCGACGACCCACGAUUAACCCAACCCCUUCUAGCCCAACAGUCUAUAUACCGCCGUCGCCAGCUUACCUUGUAAAAGAAAUAAAGUGAGCUAAACAGUACUUCACUAAGACGACAGGUCGAGGUGUAACUUAUGAAGAGGUCAAGAUGGGCUACAUUCUCCAACAGAGAAUACGAACAACACUACGAAAUUAGUUUUUAAAGGCGGAUUUAGCAGUAAGAUAAGAAUAGAAUACCUAACUGAACAUAUCGCAAUGAAGUGCGUACACACCGCCCGUCAUCCCUGCACUACAAUACUAAACUUCAAUAAACCAACCUUAAAAAUCAACCAGGGCAAGUCGUAACAUGGUAAGUGUACUGGAAAGUGUACUUAGAAA